Molecule: ribosomal RNA, 430 nt
Filed under: uncultured Elusimicrobium sp.
Lineage: Bacteria; Pseudomonadati; Elusimicrobiota; Elusimicrobia; Elusimicrobiales; Elusimicrobiaceae
Description: bacterial SSU rRNA
Rfam family: Bacterial small subunit ribosomal RNA
Source: RNAcentral
AACGCGAAGAACCUUACCCGGGCUUGAACUACAGGUGGUAAGUCCCUAGAAACAGGGGCUGACCCGCAAGGGAGCCUGCAGAGGUGCUGCAUGGUUGUCGUCAGCUCGUGUCGUGAGAUGUUGGGUUAAGUCCCGCAACGAGCGCAACCCCUAUUCGAUGUUGCCACUCCCGCAAGGGAAGCACUCUUCGAAAACUGCCUUCGAUAAGAAGGAGGAAGGUGGGGACGACGUCAAAUCCUCAUGGCCCUUAUGUCCGGGGCUACACACGUGUUACAAUGGCCGGUACAAUGGGAAGCAAUGCCGCAAGGUGGAGCCAAACCAAAAAGCCGGCCCCAGUUCAGAUUGUGGGCUGCAACUCGCCCACAUGAAGGCGGAAUCGCUAGUAAUCGCUGAUCAGCAGGCAGCGGUGAAUACGUUCCCGGGCCUUGUA